Molecule: ribosomal RNA, 777 nt
Filed under: Bacillus velezensis FZB42
Lineage: Bacteria; Bacillati; Bacillota; Bacilli; Caryophanales; Bacillaceae
Description: bacterial SSU rRNA
Rfam family: Bacterial small subunit ribosomal RNA
Source: RNAcentral
CUCUGGUCUGUAACUGACGCUGAGGAGCGAAAGCGUGGGGAGCGAACAGGAUUAGAUACCCUGGUAGUCCACGCCGUAAACGAUGAGUGCUAAGUGUUAGGGGGUUUCCGCCCCUUAGUGCUGCAGCUAACGCAUUAAGCACUCCGCCUGGGGAGUACGGUCGCAAGACUGAAACUCAAAGGAAUUGACGGGGGCCCGCACAAGCGGUGGAGCAUGUGGUUUAAUUCGAAGCAACGCGAAGAACCUUACCAGGUCUUGACAUCCUCUGACAAUCCUAGAGAUAGGACGUCCCCUUCGGGGGCAGAGUGACAGGUGGUGCAUGGUUGUCGUCAGCUCGUGUCGUGAGAUGUUGGGUUAAGUCCCGCAACGAGCGCAACCCUUGAUCUUAGUUGCCAGCAUUCAGUUGGGCACUCUAAGGUGACUGCCGGUGACAAACCGGAGGAAGGUGGGGAUGACGUCAAAUCAUCAUGCCCCUUAUGACCUGGGCUACACACGUGCUACAAUGGACAGAACAAAGGGCAGCGAAACCGCGAGGUUAAGCCAAUCCCACAAAUCUGUUCUCAGUUCGGAUCGCAGUCUGCAACUCGACUGCGUGAAGCUGGAAUCGCUAGUAAUCGCGGAUCAGCAUGCCGCGGUGAAUACGUUCCCUGGGCCUUGUACACACCGCCCGUCACACCACGAGAGUUUGUAACACCCGAGUCGGUGAGUUAACCUUUUAAGGAGCCAGCCGCCGAAGUGGACGGAUGAUUGGGGUGAAGUCGUACAAGGUAACAGAUC